UCUGGCCUCACUGGAGCCAGACACAAGAGCUCAGCAAGCAUGGAUCAAAGCAUGCAGCAACUCUGCAUUUGAAGGUGGACCAAGAAAACGGUACCAGGUGAACUGUAACCUCUUGGAAAAUGAGAAAUGGCUCAUUCUUAAGAAUUGUACAACUUCACUGUUACCUGACAAUUGUCUGGUCCACUCAGGCUCAUCUACCACAGCUGGGAAGGAACUGAAGCCACUCUCAGCAACUGUGUUCUCCCCCACUCCUCCCUAUCUGCAGCAAGAAGACUCCUUUAAUUCCCUUUGCCUGGACGCACAUCUGGGCAGAAAAGGCAGAGUGACUGAUCCAGGUUGGGAUGUAUUACUGUUUUGCACAGAAAUCAAUCCUGCCUCGCUACAAAUGUGAAAGGGCUACCUGAGAUGACACUGAAAAAUACUAACAAUACAUUUACUUCAAAGGAGAUCAAAGCAGAAGAGACAGUUCUGGGGAAUAACGUGAGCAGAAUGUUUUCUGAAUGGUCACUGCACCUGAUCUUCC
Molecule: long non-coding RNA, 523 nt
Filed under: Coturnix japonica (Japanese quail)
Lineage: Eukaryota; Metazoa; Chordata; Aves; Galliformes; Phasianidae
Description: lncRNA (ENSCJPG00005012075.1)
Source: RNAcentral